ACACAACUCUCAGCAACGGAUAUCUUGGCUCUUGCAACGAUGAAGAACGCAGCGAAAUGCGAUACUUAAUGUGAAUUGCAGAAUUCCGCGAAUCAUCGAGUCUUUGAACGCAAGUUGCGCCCGAGGCUUGUCCGAGGGCAUUUCCGCUAGAGCGUCACC
Molecule: ribosomal RNA, 159 nt
Filed under: Chryso-hypnum diminutivum
Lineage: Eukaryota; Viridiplantae; Streptophyta; Bryopsida; Hypnales; Pylaisiaceae
Also listed under: 1 other name
Description: 5.8S ribosomal RNA
Rfam family: 5.8S ribosomal RNA
About the family: 5.8S ribosomal RNA (5.8S rRNA) is a component of the large subunit of the eukaryotic ribosome. It is transcribed by RNA polymerase I as part of the 45S precursor that also contains 18S and 28S rRNA. Functionally, it is thought that 5.8S rRNA may be involved in ribosome translocation.
Source: RNAcentral